Lolium perenne is the source of this 407-nucleotide long non-coding RNA. RefSeq lists it as uncharacterized. The record is from RefSeq and is a predicted model, not a curated record. Lineage: Eukaryota; Viridiplantae; Streptophyta; Magnoliopsida; Poales; Poaceae.
GUCAUGGAAAAAUCUGCACAAAUCUCCGUCGCUCUUAUGAUCAUUCCCUUUCUCUUCAUCUGCCUCCAGGUCCAAGGAUCAUCGGGAGCCAACAUCACAGCAGACAUCCCGGUGCCAUCCAGGACGACGAUUUUACAAACGCGUUAUUCGCCCCAGACAACCGCAUCAAAGCAGUGUGACCUUUGCCACUGUUGCCCAGGGAACACUGACGAGAGUUGUUACGUUACUACGUGCUGCUAUAGGACUACAUGCAACGAUCCAGCCCAGCCACCUGGUACUUGUACAGCUGAGAGGCUCUACUGCGGCUGCGAUGAAAAAACAUGCAAAUAAUCAACCUCGUCUUAUCAUAAAAAGCAGAUGCCUAUAGACUAUGGAGUGAUAAAUUCAGGGAAUUAUGGGCUUUCACU